This 305-nucleotide ribosomal RNA is filed under the name uncultured bacterium. RNAcentral describes it as "bacterial SSU rRNA". It matches the Rfam family "Bacterial small subunit ribosomal RNA", at positions 333 to 653 of the family's 1533-position model. The record is from RNAcentral.
UUUCACCUACGGGGGGCAGCAGUGGGGGGUAUUGCACAAUGGGGGAAACCCUGAUGCAGCGACGCCGCGUGGGCGAAGAAGUAUUUCGGUAUGUAAAGCCCUAUCAGCAGGGAAGAAGAAAUGACGGUACCUGAGUAAGAAGCACCGGCUAAAUACGUGCCAGCAGCCGCGGUAAUACGUAGGGGGCAAGCGUUAUCCGGAUUUACUGGGUGUAAAGGGAGCGUAGGCGGUUUAGCAAGUCAGAAGUGAAAGCCCGGGGCUCAACUCCGGGACUGCUUUUGAAACUGUUGAACUAGAUUGCAGGG